GGAUCAUUAUCGACAGACAGAACGAGAAGCAAGCAUCCCAAGAGGGACACAAGGGACCGCCUUUCUACUAGAUUCGCUCGAAACCAAAGGCUCUCUCUUCUUCCUUUCCUUUCUUUGCUUUCCUUCUCUUUCUUUCUACCUUUCUCAACCCACACCUGUGCACCUUUCGUAGAUCCCCUCUCGAAAGAGAGGUCGCAUCUAUGUUUAUGUUUAUGUUUUCAUAACAUCACACACCAUGUAUGGCCAGAACGUAUAUCUUGAUUGAUACUUUACAACUUUCAGCAACGGAUCUCUUGGCUCUCGCAUCGAUGAAGAACGCAGCGAAUCGCGAUAUGUAAUGUGAAUUGCAGAUUUUCAGUGAAUCAUCGAAUCUUUGAACGCACAUUGCGCUCCUCGGUAUACCGAAGAGCAUGCCUGUUUGAGUGUCAUAAAAUCAUCAACCAUUCCUCGUUGGAAACGACAAGGACAUGGAUUGGAAUUGGGGGUUGCUGGCAGCCAUCUCAGCUCCUCUUAAAAGCAUUAGCGAUCGACUUGGCUAGUCCCUUGACGUGCACGGCCUCGGACGUGAUAAAGAUCGUCCUGGCUGGAGCGUCAUUUCCUGGACUGUCCUAAGGAGAUCGCUUCUAACAAAUGACAUCGAAAUCAAUCAAAUCAAAAUCAAUCAAAAUCAACAUUGGAUCUAAAGGAGAGAGUCUAUGGAGCUUAGCUACUAGUCAGUCAUGGAGAUGGAUUCAUGAAGACCAGAGAAAGCUUGAGCUUGAUGUCUUGGCCUUUUAUGCUUGACUUGACUUGAUUUGAUUUGACUUGAUUUGAUUUCAUGUUCGCUCUGUCAUUGAUUGAGUUGACCUCAAAUCAGGUAGGACUACCCGCUGAACUUAAGCAUAUCAAUAAGCGGAG
This 897-nucleotide ribosomal RNA is filed under the name Boletaceae sp. GW-2015h. RNAcentral's name for it is "eukaryotic LSU rRNA". The stretch from base 274 to 428 matches the Rfam family "5.8S ribosomal RNA". The record is from RNAcentral. Lineage: Eukaryota; Fungi; Basidiomycota; Agaricomycetes; Boletales; Boletaceae.